CGAGGAUGAUUUCCUGGGACCCUUGAACUCUGAGCAGGCCCCUGCAGGGAAAGUGACUGGCCCGCCCCCCUGCUCUGCCCCUGUCAGAGCCAGCACCUGUCAGGGGCGUGGCUGGAGGGUGGGGAGACGCUGGCACCCGGCCCCUCCGCCCGCCCGCUCCCCCAGCCCCACACUGUCCCUUGCCACGAUGGGCGCUGGGCGGCAGGCUUGGGACAGCUGGGGACGAGGGAGAGGCUGGCAGGCUGAGGGAUAAAGGGAAAGUGCCAGGAGGGACUUCACAGCCAGCAGCAGCAGUGACAGCGGUUGUUCAGCCUCCCCGGCCACUCUUGGAGCGGGGCAGGGAAGCCGAGGCAUCUGGAGCCCAGACACUGCCAGGAAGGUCUCAGCCAAGGGCCUGUGUGAAAACCAAAGACCCAGAGAAGCCAGGGAAGGGUUACAAAGAUUUUCACUGGGUGCUCAUAACAUCCAAACAUUUUUAAGUUAGUGACUAGUAUUUGCAGAUUUGAAAUCCAGUCUGAGGAGGCGGCCACAUGGACCACACGUCCCGGCAGGACAACUGCUGGCCAAAAGGGAGUCAGGGCCCUGCAUCCUGGAAGGUCCUGGCCGUGCCUCUGUCCUGACGAAACAGGGCAAUGGCACAGUGCGUCUCUCCGAGCUGGGCUCUGCUCCCUGCCUUCCCAGCAAGUCUCAGACGGGUCCUGUGAUUCAUCAGCCCCACUUUCCUGACAAGCAGCCGGAGGUGGAGGAAGGGACAGCUGCAAUCAGAUCCGACUGUGAAAGAAUGUUCUAGAGCCUGGCGUGGCACACACCUGUAAUCCUAGCCCUCUGGAGGCUGGGGGAGGAGGAUCGCACAGGCAGCUUCUAAAUACCCCUUCGCAGACAGGUGUGCAACAUGCCCUUCUCAGGGGAUGAAAUAAGACCUAGACCCUCAUUUCCACCUCUCUGGCCCUGGGUGUGUUCUUGUGUGGACAACUUAACUGCUCUGAGUCUCCGUUUUCUCAUCUGAAAAAUGAGGUGUCCUGCUACGACUCCCAAACUGCUGUACCAGGAAGACCGAGACACGAUGCCGAGAGCCGGGGAUUUAGCUCAGUGGUUUCGCCACCUGCCUCACAAAUGCAAGGUUCUGAGUUUGAUCCCUGGUACCAAAAAAAAGAAAGAAAGAAAAAAAGAGACACGAUGCAGAGAACAUUCUUCGCAAUGCUCAAGGUUGCUUUUCUUUUUCCCUCAUGGACAUCCGGUGGAGUUUUCCAGUGGGCACAAGACACGACAUCCAGACAUCCAGCAGCUGAAGGCAGAGCAGACUCGAGGAGCCAGCUGCCUUCUACCAAACUGUGCAUUUGAGAAUUUGCAACUGUGUAGAACAGUGUCACCUUUCUCGGUAAACCUUUUGGGGAAAAUCUGGUUCUUUAGAAUAAAAAUGCUUAACAUGCAGUGAUUUAUUGUUCUUUUAAAAUUAAUAAACGUAAAUGG
RNAcentral lists this long non-coding RNA (1470 nucleotides) under Heterocephalus glaber (naked mole-rat). Its description in RNAcentral is "lncRNA (ENSHGLG00000043405.1)". Lineage: Eukaryota; Metazoa; Chordata; Mammalia; Rodentia; Bathyergidae. The record is from RNAcentral.